GACGAACGCUGGCGGCGUGCUUAACACAUGCAAGUCGAACGGAAAGGCCCUGCUUUUGUGGGGUGCUCGAGUGGCGAACGGGUGAGUAACACGUGAGUAACCUGCCCUUGACUUUGGGAUAACUUCAGGAAACUGGGGCUAAUACCGGAUAGGAGCUCCUGCUGCAUGGUGGGGGUUGGAAAGUUUCGGCGGUUGGGGAUGGACUCGCGGCUUAUCAGCUUGUUGGUGGGGUAGUGGCUUACCAAGGCUUUGACGGGUAGCCGGCCUGAGAGGGUGACCGGCCACAUUGGGACUGAGAUACGGCCCAGACUCCUACGGGAGGCAGCAGUGGGGGAUAUUGCACAAUGGGCGGAAGCCUGAUGCAGCAACGCCGCGUGCGGGAUGACGGCCUUCGGGUUGUAAACCGCUUUCGCUCAUGACGAAGCUUUGUGUGACGGUAGUGGGUAAAGAAGCACCGGCUAACUACGUG
This 469-nucleotide ribosomal RNA is filed under the name uncultured bacterium. Its description in RNAcentral is "partial 16S ribosomal RNA". It matches the Rfam family "Bacterial small subunit ribosomal RNA", at positions 28 to 507 of the family's 1533-position model. The record is from RNAcentral.